RNAcentral lists this ribosomal RNA (462 nucleotides) under uncultured bacterium. Its description in RNAcentral is "partial 16S ribosomal RNA". It matches the Rfam family "Bacterial small subunit ribosomal RNA", at positions 28 to 507 of the family's 1533-position model. The record is from RNAcentral.
GACGAACGCUGGCGGCGUGCUUAACACAUGCAAGUCGAACGGAAAGGCCCUUCGGGGUACUCGAGUGGCGAACGGGUGAGUAACACGUGGGUGAUCUGCCCUGCACUUUGGGAUAAGCCUGGGAAACUGGGUCUAAUACCGGAUAGGACCACGGCAUUCAUGUGCUGUGGUGGAAAGCUUUUGCGGUGUGGGAUGGGCCCGCGGCCUAUCAGCUUGUUGGUGGGGUAAUGGCCUACCAAGGCGACGACGGGUAGCCGGCCUGAGAGGGUGACCGGCCACAAUGGGACUGAGAUACGGCCCAGACUCCUACGGGAGGCAGCAGUGGGGAAUAUUGCACAAUGGGCGCAAGCCUGAUGCAGCGACGCCGCGUGAGGGAUGACGGCCUUCGGGUUGUAAACCUCUUUCGCCAGGGACGAAGCGCAAGUGACGGUACCUGGAGAAGAAGGACCGGCCAACUACGUG